RNAcentral lists this ribosomal RNA (427 nucleotides) under uncultured bacterium. RNAcentral describes it as "partial 16S ribosomal RNA". It matches the Rfam family "Bacterial small subunit ribosomal RNA", at positions 355 to 774 of the family's 1533-position model. The record is from RNAcentral.
UGGGGAAUAUUGGACAAUGGGGGCAACCCUGAUCCAGCCAUGCCGCGUGUGUGAAGAAGGCCUUUUGGUUGUAAAGCACUUUAAGCAGUGAAGAAGACUCCAUGGUUAAUACCCAUGGACGAUGACAUUAGCUGCAGAAUAAGCACCGGCUAACUCUGUGCCAGCAGCCGCGGUAAUACAGAGGGUGCAAGCGUUAAUCGGAAUUACUGGGCGUAAAGCGAGCGUAGGUGGCUUGAUAAGUCAGAUGUGAAAGCCCCGGGCUUAACCUGGGAACGGCAUCUGAUACUGUUAGGCUAGAGUAGGUGAGAGGAAGGUAGAAUUCCAGGUGUAGCGGUGAAAUGCGUAGAGAUCUGGAGGAAUACCGAUGGCGAAGGCAGCCUUCUGGUCUGUAACUGACGCUGAUGUGCGAAAGCGUGGGGAUCAAACA